RNAcentral lists this ribosomal RNA (253 nucleotides) under uncultured bacterium. RNAcentral describes it as "partial 16S ribosomal RNA". It matches the Rfam family "Bacterial small subunit ribosomal RNA", at positions 524 to 776 of the family's 1533-position model. The record is from RNAcentral.
UACGGAGGGGGCUAGCGUUGUUCGGAAUUACUGGGCGUAAAGCGCGCGUAGGUGGCUUUGUAAGUUAGAGGUGAAAGCCCGGAGCUCAACUCCGGAAUUGCCUUUAAGACUGCAUCGCUAGAACGUCGGAGAGGUAAGUGGAAUUCCGAGUGUAGAGGUGAAAUUCGUAGAUAUUCGGAAGAACACCAGUGGCGAAGGCGACUUACUGGACGACUGUUGACACUGAGGUGCGAAAGCGUGGGGAGCAAACAGG